RNAcentral lists this long non-coding RNA (323 nucleotides) under Pan troglodytes (chimpanzee). Its description in RNAcentral is "long non-coding RNA NONPTRT000291". The record is from RNAcentral. Lineage: Eukaryota; Metazoa; Chordata; Mammalia; Primates; Hominidae.
CCCUAUUCAUGCAGAUCAGCCUGUGCUGAGGAAAAAGGAAUGAGCAUUGUACCUUUUUCUUCUCUCAAUCAGUUUAGAGAGGUGCACACAUUUUUUUUUUCCUCCACUCAUAAAGAAUCUCAGAAUUCUAGGGCUGGAAGAAAAUGUGGAAGAUUCCUCUCUUGGUGCUGAAGGCUUGAGUGGAAUUCGCAGAAGCCCAUUCCGGGAGCUCUAACUAGCUCUUUGGCUGCAGUCAAUGGCGUGAUCUCCUCUCACUGCAGCCUUGACCUCCUGGGCUCAAGCAAUCCUCCCACCUCAGCCCCUCAAGUAGCUAGGACUACAGG